Molecule: ribosomal RNA, 419 nt
Filed under: uncultured eukaryote
Lineage: Eukaryota
Description: eukaryotic LSU rRNA
Rfam family: Eukaryotic large subunit ribosomal RNA
Source: RNAcentral
CUGGAACUUAAGAAGAAGUAGUUUUUAUCAGGUAAAGCGAAUGAUUAGAGGCUUUGGGGAAGAAACUUCCUCGACCUAUUCUCAAACUUUAAAUAGGUAAGAUUUGGAGGAUACUUAAGUGAUCUUUCAAUCUCUUGAAUAUAAAGUUCUUAGUGGGCCAUUUUUGGUAAGCAGAACUGGCGAUGUGGGAUGAACCGAACGUUAAGUUAAAGUGCCAAAUAGUACGCUCAUGAGAUACCAUAAAAGGUGUUGGUUCAUUUUGACAGCAGGACGGUGGCCAUGGAAGUCGGAACCCGCUAAGGAGUGUGUAACAACUCACCUGCCGAAUGAACUAGCCCUGAAAAUGGAUGGCGCUUAAGCGUAUAACUUAUACUUAACCCUUACUUGAAUUAUUAUAGCGAGUAAGGAGUAGGAGGGCG